AGGAUAGUAGUUAAAUAUAGCAUUUGAUUUGCAUUCAAAAAGUAUUGAAUUAUUUCAAUCUAUCUUA
This 67-nucleotide transfer RNA is filed under the name Enallagma cyathigerum. RNAcentral describes it as "tRNA-Ala". It matches the Rfam family "tRNA". Rfam says of the family: Transfer RNA (tRNA) molecules are approximately 80 nucleotides in length. Lineage: Eukaryota; Metazoa; Arthropoda; Insecta; Odonata; Coenagrionidae. The record is from RNAcentral.